GCAGCCAGUGGGAACCCUGAGGGAUCUGUGAGAUCACUCAUUCCAUUCACAGACUCUUGUCAGACAGCAGCCACCAGCUCACCUCCAUCCCCAGGACUUAGAGGGACACAGGGCAUUGGGAACAGAGGACACUCCAGGCGCUGACCCUGGGAGGCCAGGACCAGGGCCAAAGUCCCGUGGGCAGGAGGAGUCCUCGGAGGUCCUUCAUUCAGCAGUUCCGGGAGGCCUAGGAAGCCCACGGCCUGGCUGGGGCAGCGUCAACGCCGCCAGGCCGCCAUGGUCCUGUGCUGGCUGCUGCUUCUGGUGAUGGCUCUGCCCCCAGGCACGACGGGCGUCAAGGAGUGCAUCUUCUGUGAGCUCACCGACUCCACGCAGUGUCCCGGCACCUCCAUGCGCUGUGGUGAUGACGAGGACUGCUUCACAGGCCGGGGGAUCGCCCCAGGCACCGGUCCGGUCAUCAACAAAGGCUGCCUUCGAGCCACCAGCUGCGGCCGGGAGGAACCUGUCAGCUACAGGGGCGUCACCUACAGCCUCACCACCACCUGCUGCAGCGGCCGCCUGUGUAACAGAGCUCUGGGCUCCUCGAGCAGCCAGACGGUGGGGGCCACCACCAGCCUGGCACUGGGGCUGGGUAUGCUGCUCCCUUCACGUUUGCUGUGACCAACAGGGAGGACGAGGCCUGGGACUGUUCUCCCAGAUCUGCCACUCCUCACGUCCCCGUCUCCUUCUCCCACUAAAUGGCCAGAGAGGCCCUGGACAACCUCUUGCGGCCCUGGCUUCAUCCCUUCUAAGGCUGUCCACCAGGAGCCCGGUGUUCAGGGAAGCACCCCCAGGCCUGAUUGAGCGGCAGAGGAGCACGGCCUGUGGGUUUGAUUGUAAUACUCUAUUCUACCGGUUCUAAGAUGCAGAGCUUCUCACGUUUCAAUCACGAUGCUUCUCUCCAUUGGUGGCACCUUAGAGUCCAUGAAAUACGCGAUAAGAUCCAGCUAUGUUGUCCGGGGGGUCUCAGAUUCCUGGGCUCAAGUGAUCCUCCCACCUCAGCCUCUCAAAGUGCUGGGAUUACAGGUGUGAGCCAUGGCACCCGGCCAAGACUGUCUUAUGUUACGUGCCACGGAAUCCUCACACAA
Molecule: non-coding RNA, 1127 nt
Organism: Macaca mulatta (Rhesus monkey)
Lineage: Eukaryota; Metazoa; Chordata; Mammalia; Primates; Cercopithecidae
Source: RefSeq, a predicted model, not a curated record